UCAAACCAAGCAAUUUCUUCACGGAUCGAGGUUUUUGAAGUCAUCUUUGUGUUCCUUGUGAGUCUAGGAACACAUCUAUACCAUUUUUAGAACGUGAAGACCUCAUUUUCCUGAGAACCCGAGAACCCAGUUUUGGGUUACUGUUCAUGCACUCGUGAUUUCGAAGUUUUUAAAAGAUUUUAAGCUACUAGUGAGCUUUA
Molecule: long non-coding RNA, 200 nt
Filed under: Malus domestica (apple)
Lineage: Eukaryota; Viridiplantae; Streptophyta; Magnoliopsida; Rosales; Rosaceae
Description: long non-coding RNA (MDOM_LNC013428)
Source: RNAcentral